This 323-nucleotide ribosomal RNA is filed under the name uncultured soil bacterium. Its description in RNAcentral is "bacterial SSU rRNA". It matches the Rfam family "Bacterial small subunit ribosomal RNA", at positions 26 to 377 of the family's 1533-position model. The record is from RNAcentral.
AGAACGAACGCUGGCGGCAUGCCUAAUACAUGCAAGUCGAACGAACUCUUCGGAGUUAGUGGCGCACGGGUGCGUAACGCGUGGGAAUCUGCCCCUUGGUUCGGAAUAACAGUUGGAAACGACUGCUAAUACCGGAUGAUGACGAAAGUCCAAAGAUUUAUCGCCAAGGGAUGAGCCCGCGUAGGAUUAGCUAGUUGGUGAGGUAAAGGCUCACCAAGGCAACGAUCCUUAGCUGGUCUGAGAGGAUGAUCAGCCACACUGGGACUGAGACACGGCCCAGACUCCUACGGGAGGCAGCAGUAGGGAAUAUUGGACAAUGGGCG